GCCACGUGGCGCGCCGCAGGCGACAGCGCCAGAGUCAACAACGAGCGGCGGGACGGGCGAAGCGGCGUUGCCACGUCUUCUCCGGCUCGCACGCCGAGUUACGUGUUUCUGCCCAUAGACGUGACGUGGCAACGCCGCGGGAGUGAAGAUAGAAGAUGUCGAAGGGGAGGGGAAGGGGAGAGACGCUAUCCAGUGUUUAGACACUAGCGCCCGGGGCGGCGUUUCCCAGAAUUCCUUAGCGCCCGGCUUUCACACGCUGCUGUUUACCGAGCGGCGCGGCGGGAACACAUCCGGACGCAUCCACGCGGGAACCGAUGUUACAAGAGCCGGGCGACGGAUGCACAGCGACCCAGCGAAGCUUGCAUGAAGGCCUUUUGUCACACCGUCAAAUAUCUGACCACAGAGUUGGAGGGGAAGUAUUGAACGGAAAAUUUUCUCCGUUAAAUAUAUUUGGACAGAUAACCUCAAAUAUGUUUUAAAUCAUGUCACACUGUCAAAGUUUAUAUUUUCUCUGGGCUAUCUUAAAACUUUCAAUUUUCUUCUUCUUUAAUUUGAAAUUAAAUAAUGCAUCACAGCAUUGGACGGAUUUUUUUUUCAAAAAAACUUGUUAUUAUGUUUGUAUAUUUUUAAGUUUUUGAACAUAAAUAAAUUUUUAAAGUUA
Bacillus rossius redtenbacheri is the source of this 661-nucleotide long non-coding RNA. RefSeq lists it as uncharacterized. Lineage: Eukaryota; Metazoa; Arthropoda; Insecta; Phasmatodea; Bacillidae. The transcript has 2 exons. The record is from RefSeq and is a predicted model, not a curated record.